AGGGUUGUAGCUCAGUUGGUUAGAGCGUUUGGUCGACAUCCAAGAGGUCGUGAGUUCGAAUCUCACCAACCCUA
Molecule: transfer RNA, 74 nt
Filed under: Iodobacter fluviatilis
Lineage: Bacteria; Pseudomonadati; Pseudomonadota; Betaproteobacteria; Neisseriales; Chitinibacteraceae
Also listed under: 1 other name
Description: tRNA-Val
Rfam family: tRNA
About the family: Transfer RNA (tRNA) molecules are approximately 80 nucleotides in length.
Source: RNAcentral